Molecule: ribosomal RNA, 459 nt
Filed under: uncultured bacterium
Lineage: Bacteria
Description: SSU rRNA
Rfam family: Bacterial small subunit ribosomal RNA
Source: RNAcentral
AGAAUCAACGCUGGCGGCGUGCCUAACACAUGCAAGUCGAACGAGAAAGUGGAGCAAUCCAUGAGUAAAGUGGCGCACGGGUGAGUAACACGUGACUAACCUACCCUUGAGUGGGGGAUAACCUAGAGAAAUCUGGGCUAAUACCGCAUAAUACCUUCGGGUCAAAGGAGCAAUUCGCUUAAGGAGGGGGUCGCGGCCGAUUAGUUAGUUGGCGGGGUAAUGGCCCACCAAGACUAUGAUCGGUAUCCGGCCUGAGAGGGCGCACGGACACACUGGAACUGAAACACGGUCCAGACUCCUACGGGAGGCAGCAGUGGGAAUUUGCGCAAUGGGGGAAACCCUGACGCAGCAACGCCGCGUGGAGGAUGAAGUCCCUUGGGACGUAAACUCCUUUCGAUCGGGACGAUUAUGGACGGUACCGGAAGAAGAAGCCCCGGCUAACUUCGUGCCAGCAGCCGC